RNAcentral lists this ribosomal RNA (38 nucleotides) under Ficus trigona. RNAcentral describes it as "partial 18S ribosomal RNA". The record is from RNAcentral. Lineage: Eukaryota; Viridiplantae; Streptophyta; Magnoliopsida; Rosales; Moraceae.
UCAUUGUCGAAACCUGCCCAGCAGAAGGACCGGCGAAC